RNAcentral lists this ribosomal RNA (253 nucleotides) under uncultured bacterium. RNAcentral describes it as "partial 16S ribosomal RNA". It matches the Rfam family "Bacterial small subunit ribosomal RNA", at positions 524 to 776 of the family's 1533-position model. The record is from RNAcentral.
UACGUGGGGUGCAAGCGUUGUUCGGAAUUACUGGGCGUAAAGCGCGUGUAGGUGGCUCGUUAAGUCUCGUGUGAAAACCCUAGGCUCAACCUAGGAAUUGCGCGGGAAACUAGCGAGCUUGAGUCCGGGAGAGGGUAGUGGAAUUCCUGGUGUAGAGGUGAAAUUCGUAGAUAUCAGGAGGAACACCGGUGGCGAAGGCGGCUACCUGGACCGGUACUGACACUGAGACGCGAAAGCGUGGGGAGCAAACAGG